CCAUGCAUGCUUAGUAGCGGCGAGUGAAGCGGCAAAAGCUCAAAUUUGAAAUCUGGCACUUUCAGUGUCCGAGUUGUAAUUUGAAGAAGGUAUCUUUGGGUCUGGCUCUUGUCUAUGUUUCUUGGAACAGAACGUCACAGAGGGUGAGAAUCCCGUGCGAUGAGAUGACCCAGACCUAUGUAAAGUUCCUUCGAAGAGUCGAGUUGUUUGGGAAUGCAGCUCUAAGUGGGUGGUAAAUUCCAUCUAAAGCUAAAUAUUGGCGAGAGACCGAUAGCGAACAAGUACAGUGAUGGAAAGAUGAAAAGAACUUUGAAAAGAGAGUGAAAAAGUACGUGAAAUUGUUGAAAGGGAAGGGCUUGAGAUCAGACUUGGUAUUUUGUAUGUUACUCUUUCGGGGGUGGCCUCUACAGUUUACCGGGCCAGCAUCAGUUUGGGCGGUAGGAGAAUUGCAAAGAAAUGUGGCACUGCUUCGGUAGUGUGUUAUAGUCUUUGUCGAUACUGCCAGCCUAGACUGAGGACUGCGGCUUCGGCCUAGGAUGUUGGCAUAAUGAUCUUAAGUCGCCCGUCUUGAACC
RNAcentral lists this ribosomal RNA (574 nucleotides) under Lodderomyces metapsilosis. RNAcentral describes it as "eukaryotic LSU rRNA". It matches the Rfam family "Eukaryotic large subunit ribosomal RNA", at positions 69 to 660 of the family's 3401-position model. Lineage: Eukaryota; Fungi; Ascomycota; Pichiomycetes; Serinales; Debaryomycetaceae. The record is from RNAcentral.